CUUGUGAUUAAUGCUUUUGACAGCUAAUGGAGGUUCGCCUCCGGAGAAAAACGCUCAAAACGAGCACAAUCAGAUUCCUGAUUUUGCAUACUCGCCUAAUCCUCACUAAAAAGAGAGAACAGAGAGAUAGCAACUUUGAAGUGGAGAGACUUGCUUCGGCAAGAAGAUGGCUUCAAGAGAACUACAAAGAGGCUGAAAAUGCCAAAAGAUAAAGAACGAUCCAGGUGAUGGACAUCCAUGAGAUCCCUAGAGCCCAAGAAUGCCUUCUUUGCAAAGAACAAAGGUGGCGGCGGUUCUCAGGGUAGGCACUGGUAAUGCAAUAUUGUUGGGUGCAAAUGGCAAAUUACGUGUAUUAAAAAAACAAAACAAAAGAAAAACAUAAUUAAUCUGGUUAAUCGUUAUCUAUCUAAUGUUUUGCCUUCCAAUAACCUUUUCUUUGAUGAUUUUUUUACAUGGGAAAAAGAUAAAUAUUUUUUUAUGGGGGAUAGGUAAGGUAC
Long non-coding RNA from Prosopis cineraria, 497 nucleotides. RefSeq lists it as uncharacterized. Lineage: Eukaryota; Viridiplantae; Streptophyta; Magnoliopsida; Fabales; Fabaceae. The record is from RefSeq and is a predicted model, not a curated record. The transcript is spliced from 4 exons.